GCAGAACACAAGAAUGACAGCAAAAAGAGGAAUCCAAAAUCGGGAUUAGCAGUGCACACGAUCGAAGAAGGCCAUGUCUUUGAUUUCGAAAAAACGACUGUUUUGGAACGCAUCGAGAACCCAGAGACCAGGAUGAUCGCAGAGGUCUUCCAUAUCAAAAAGCAGGGAGAAAGAGAGACCGUAAACCUGCAACGUGAGUGCGGUAAUUUCAACUCCACGUACAAUGGUCUAUUGGCGAGACUGCGUGGAGAGCCACAUACACGGACGACUGAGAGAGGAAACAUUGACGAAAAUGAAACUGGGUGAUGAGCAAGGUGCGCUCGUUAAUUGGGGUUUUGGGAAAACCAUUAGUAUAGUUGUGACAGACCAAGCUGUAAGGUUGCGUUCAGCAUGUUGCGUCUGAUGAGGGCUGAAGUGAAGUAAGCCGAAACGCGUAACGCAAAAUAUGCUGUUUUUGUCUGUUGUCACCGAGAAAAGCCAAUAUAUAAUAUUAAAUA
Aedes aegypti (yellow fever mosquito) is the source of this 497-nucleotide long non-coding RNA. RefSeq lists it as uncharacterized. The transcript is spliced from 2 exons. NCBI's taxonomy places the organism in Eukaryota, Metazoa, Arthropoda, Insecta, Diptera, Culicidae. The record is from RefSeq and is a predicted model, not a curated record.